GACGAACGCUGGCGGCGUGCCUAAUACAUGCAAGUAGAACGCUGAAGAGAGGAGCUUGCUCUUCUUGGAUGAGUUGCGAACGGGUGAGUAACGCGUAGGUAACCUGCCUUGUAGCGGGGGAUAACUAUUGGAAACGAUAGCUAAUACCGCAUAACAAUGGAUGACACAUGGCAUUUAUUUGAAAGGGGCAAUUGCUCCACUACAAGAUGGACCUGCGUUGUAUUAGCUAGUAGGUGAGGUAAUGGCUCACCUAGGCGACGAUACAUAGCCGACCUGAGAGGGUGAGCGGCCACACUGGGAGAGAGACACCGCCCAGAAUGCGACGGGAGUCAGCAGUAGGGAAUCUUCGGCAAUGGGGGCAACCCUGACCGAGCAACGCCGCGUGAGUGAAGAAGGUUUUCGGAUCGUAAAGCUCUGUUUUAAGUCAAGAACGGGUGUGAGAGUGAAAAGUUCACACUGUGACGGUAGCUGAACAGAAAGGGACGGCUAACUACGUG
RNAcentral lists this ribosomal RNA (497 nucleotides) under uncultured bacterium. RNAcentral describes it as "partial 16S ribosomal RNA". It matches the Rfam family "Bacterial small subunit ribosomal RNA", at positions 28 to 507 of the family's 1533-position model. The record is from RNAcentral.